This is a long non-coding RNA of Monodelphis domestica (gray short-tailed opossum), 845 nucleotides long. The record is from Ensembl. Lineage: Eukaryota; Metazoa; Chordata; Mammalia; Didelphimorphia; Didelphidae.
GGGUCUUUCCAUUUUUUGAGAAGUAUUCCCUUUGUUUCCUUUGUUCCCCUCUGUUCUUUGUUCUCUUCUCACUUAUUCUCCUAUACAUAGAUGUACAAAGGAAUGGCUUCUUGUGUAGAGGGAAUUUCAUCCCCUCCCCCUCCAGGAUUGCUGACCUGGCCCAUCCCACUUUUAAAUGGGAGGUUUUCCUCAGUGGACAUUAAUAAAGGGGUGUGGCUUGAGCCUAAAGGGGUCUCUUUGUUCUUUGUUCCCUCACCACUUCCUUGAGCAAGCUGGUGAAGGAUGGAUGGAGAUUCCUACAGGAUGGGCUACACCUUCUCAGACUGAGAGGAGGAAAGUAAAAGUCAGGAAGACUGAUCUGUGUAUCAGGCAAAUAUGUGCAGUGUUUCAUGCCAGUGGACCUCUCACCUCGUCGACAAGGUAGGUUGAUGGUUCCUUUUAUUACUUUCUUUAGAUUUCCCUUUGAUCUGAUACACUUUGUUUCAAGUACUUUUAAAUGUGAGCUGUCACUUUCAGAUUAUGGAAAUGCCUGUCCUUACCAUGCCUAGAUACUCUUGCAAAUAUUCACAAAGUUCUUUCCAUAAUAUGUUUUGAACGUUAAUACAUGUAUAACCAGAUCAAAUUGAUUUUUCGUUCCACUGGGAUUGGUUGGUCUCCUUGACCUUGUGUUCUCACUGUUUCACACUGUACAGCACUUCUUUUGUGAUCCCUUUUUCUAAAAUCAGACACAAUUAUUAGUAACAGUUCUUUGAUAUUUAACAAUUAAUGGCAGGUUUCUAUAAUCUGGGUUAGGUAUGGAUAUUUAGGCUAAAGGAUAUUUUAAACUUAUCCUUUAAUAUAAAUAA